CUCCUACGGGAGGCAGCAGUGGGGAAUAUUGCACAAUGGGCGCAAGCCUGAUGCAGCGACGCCGCGUGAGGGAUGACGGCCUUCGGGUUGUAAACCUCUUUCAGCAGGGAAGAAGCGAAAGUGACGGUACCUGCAGAAGAAGCGCCGGCUAACUACGUGCCAGCAGCCGCGGUAAUACGUAGGGCGCGAGCGUUGUCCGGAAUUAUUGGGCGUAAAGAGCUUGUAGGCGGUUUGUUGCGUCUGCUGUGAAAGACCGGGGCUUAACCCCGGUAUUGCAGUGGGUACGGGCAGACUAGAGUGCAGUAGGGGAGACUGGAAUUCCUGGUGUAGCGGUGAAAUGCGCAGAUAUCAGGAGGAACACCGAUGGCGAAGGCAGGUCUCUGGGCUGUAACUGACGCUGAGAAGCGAAAGCAUGGGGAGCGAACAGGAUUAGAUACCCUGGUAGUCCAUGCCGUAAACGUUGGGCACUAGGUGUGGGGGACAUUCCACGUUUUCCGCGCCGUAGCUAACGCAUUAAGUGCCCCGCCUGGGGAGUACGGCCGCAAGGCUAAAACUCAAAGGAAUUGACGGGGGCCCGCACAAG
This 583-nucleotide ribosomal RNA is filed under the name uncultured bacterium. Its description in RNAcentral is "bacterial SSU rRNA". It matches the Rfam family "Bacterial small subunit ribosomal RNA", at positions 336 to 929 of the family's 1533-position model. The record is from RNAcentral.